RNAcentral lists this transfer RNA (71 nucleotides) under Agrilus planipennis (emerald ash borer). It matches the Rfam family "tRNA". Rfam says of the family: Transfer RNA (tRNA) molecules are approximately 80 nucleotides in length. Their secondary structure includes four short double-helical elements and three loops (D, anti-codon, and T loops). Lineage: Eukaryota; Metazoa; Arthropoda; Insecta; Coleoptera; Buprestidae. The record is from Rfam by way of RNAcentral.
CUUCUCGUGGCUUAAUAGUAGAGCAAUGGUGUGUAAAGCCAGGGACCCGAGUUCGAUUCCCGACGAGAGCG